This 449-nucleotide ribosomal RNA is filed under the name uncultured bacterium. RNAcentral's name for it is "partial 16S ribosomal RNA". It matches the Rfam family "Bacterial small subunit ribosomal RNA", at positions 29 to 523 of the family's 1533-position model. The record is from RNAcentral.
AACGAACGCUGGCGGCAGGCCUAACACAUGCAAGUCGAACGCCCUAGCAAUAGGGAGUGGCAGACGGGUGAGUAACGCGUGGGAACGUGCCCUUCAGUUCGGGAUAAGCCGAGGAAACUUGGUCUAAUACCGGAUACGUGCGAGAGCAGAAAGAUUUAUCGCUGAAGGAUCGGCCCGCGUCCGAUUAGCUAGUUGGUGAGGUAACGGCUCACCAAGGCGACGAUCGGUAGCUGGUCUGAGAGGAUGAUCAGCCACACUGGGACUGAGACACGGCCCAGACUCCUACGGGAGGCAGCAGUGGGGAAUAUUGGACAAUGGGCGCAAGCCUGAUCCAGCCAUGCCGCGUGAGUGAUGAAGGCCCUAGGGUUGUAAAGCUCUUUCGCCAGGGACGAUAAUGACGGUACCUGGAUAAGAAGCCCCGGCUAACUUCGUGCCAGCAGCCGCCGCCG